RNAcentral lists this ribosomal RNA (483 nucleotides) under uncultured bacterium. RNAcentral's name for it is "bacterial SSU rRNA". It matches the Rfam family "Bacterial small subunit ribosomal RNA", at positions 29 to 524 of the family's 1533-position model. The record is from RNAcentral.
AACAAACGCUGGCGGCGUGCCUAAUACAUGCAAGUCGAACGGGGAAAGUUCUUCGGAAUGAGUACUAGUGGCGUACGGGUGAGCAACACGUGGAUAAUCUUCCUUCAGGUGGGGAAUAACGAGUCGAAAGAUUCGCUAAUACCGCAUAAGACCACAGUAACUUUGGUUACAGGGGUUAAAGACUUCGGUCGCCUUUAGAUGAGUCUGCGUCCGAUUAGCUAGUUGGUGAGGUAAUGGCUCACCAAGGCGACGAUCGGUAACUGGUCUGAGAGGACGGCCAGUCACACUGGGACUGAGACACGGCCCAGACUCCUACGGGAGGCAGCAGUAGGGAAUUUUGCACAAUGGAGGAAACUCUGAUGCAGCGACGCCGCGUGAGUGAUGAAGGCCUUCGGGUCGUAAAGCUCUGUUCUCAGGGAAUAAAAAAAUGAAGGUACCUGAGGAGAAAGGACCGGCUAACUUCGUGCCAGCAGCCGCGGUAAU